UUGAGCCAGCAAGAGAAACGGAAAGAUCCUCGGAGAGUGAAUUGGGGUUGCUCAAAUCAGAUAGUGAAAGUCUCUGGAAUGAAGUUUGUUUAGUGACCUCUUUCUUGGGUUUGGAUGAUGCUGGUUUCUCAUUCUCAUGUGGUUUGAAACAACUGGAAACCAUAGAUAACCACGUAACCUUCUCCACAGUCAUUGUUGUUGAUGAAUGAUUCUGCAAACUUGAAUAUUAAUUGGUUUCUUGCAACAAAAACUAAAAAAUCAAUUUAUUAAUGAGAAAGAGAGAGAAGAGAGAGAGAGAGGAGUGAUGGGUUUAGAAG
Molecule: unclassified non-coding RNA, 317 nt
Filed under: Hevea brasiliensis (rubber tree)
Lineage: Eukaryota; Viridiplantae; Streptophyta; Magnoliopsida; Malpighiales; Euphorbiaceae
Source: RNAcentral